Molecule: small RNA, 117 nt
Filed under: Marmota monax (woodchuck)
Lineage: Eukaryota; Metazoa; Chordata; Mammalia; Rodentia; Sciuridae
Source: RNAcentral
UCUGGGUGCAGGGGCGCACCCCUGUAAUUUCAGCUACUUGGGAGGCUGAGGUGGGAGGAUUGCUUGAGCCCAGGAGUUCUGGGCCAGCCUGAGCAGUGUAGCAAGACCCCAUCUCUU